Molecule: small RNA, 579 nt
Filed under: unidentified plant
Lineage: Eukaryota; Viridiplantae; Streptophyta
Description: eukaryotic LSU rRNA
Rfam family: 5.8S ribosomal RNA (bases 193-348)
Source: RNAcentral
ACGAAUGACCAGCGAACGCGUCCUCUGACAAACCCCGGGCUGGGAACCGCCGGCCGUGCGCGAUCGGCCCCCGGCCCAAACAACAAAACCACGGCGCGGAAUGCGCCAAGGAAUCCAAACGUUAUUGUUCUCCCCGCCGUCUCCGGAGACGGAGUGCGGUCGGGGCGACGAGUGACCACAAGAGUAUAGAACGACUCUCGGCAACGGAUAUCUCGGCUCUUGCAUCGAUGAAGAACGUAGCGAAAUGCGAUACUUGGUGUGAAUUGCAGAAUCCCGUGAACCAUCGAGUCUUUGAACGCAAGUUGCGCCCGAAGCCCUUAGGCUGAGGGCACGCCUGCCUGGGUGUCACCAAAAGCUGCCCCCUCCCCUCCCGUCUCGGGGCACGGGGAAGGGGCGAAAGCUGGCCUCCCGUGGGCCCUCGGCUCGCGGUUGGUUAAAAGAGGCGGGCUCUUGGUGGGGAGCAGCACCGCGGCGGAUGGUGGUCGAGUGCGACCCUCGUGGCCAGCCGCGCGUUCUUCUCCCCCGUUUCAAGGCCCGGCGACCCUCGGGCGACGCCGAUCGUCCCUAGCGCGACCUCAG